This 1711-nucleotide long non-coding RNA is filed under the name Homo sapiens (human). RNAcentral's name for it is "HSALNT0392314". Lineage: Eukaryota; Metazoa; Chordata; Mammalia; Primates; Hominidae. The record is from RNAcentral.
UUUCACUUUGGGAUGAUAACACAGGUUUGGAAUGGAUACUGGUGAUAGUUGCACAACAAUGUAUUUCUACUUAAUGUACUUAAAUUUUCUCUUAUACAUAUUUCACCACAGAAAAAAAAUUAGCAAAUAUUUAAAAAUCUACAUGUUUCUUUGAACUGUUUCUUUACGUCCCUUGUCCAUUUUUCAAUUUGGCUGUUGGUCUUUUAAUAAUUUAGGAUAGCUAUAUAGCUAUAUAUAUACAUAUAUAUUACACAAAUUAGCUUUUUGUCUGUCAUGUAUGUUGCAGAUCUGUUUCCCCAGUCUGUUGACUUUUGACUUUGAUGCAUUUUUCUUGCCUAUAAAGUUUUAAUUUUUAUGGAGUCAAAUGCAUCAGUCUUCUAUUCAAAGACUUAUUUAUGGGUUUGGUGUUUCAGUUUAGGAUGAAAAAGAAGUUGUAGAUAUGGAUAAAGGAGAUGGUUGUACAACACAUUAUAUUGGACCACUCAACUGUACGUUUAAACAUGGUUAAAAUGGCAUGUAUCAAACCAAGAAAGCGGCUAGGAGGGCAACACAUCUACCUGUAUACAGGGAGCUAUGAAAUACGUGAGCUGCGCAAGUGAUGCACAAGGAAACGGAAGCAGUAUGACCUUUACACAGUGACCUGGCUCAAAUAAUUUCAGGCUGUCAUUAACCAGGCGAGCUCCACUUUCUCUCUGAGGUUGGGUGUUAAUCUGAUGUGGUGCUCUUGGAGAAGCUUGCUUGAGUUCGGCGCUUUCUCAGCACGUGGUGUGUGCUGCCCCUUCAAGCUGCAGGAGUCCCAGAAACUCUCCUGGCUUCUAUCCAAAGCUGUGUUCCAGGUGGGGAACACCUAUGGAUGCACCAGGGUGCAACUACUCAGAGUCCAGUGUGCAGAAGGGCCCCUGCUCUAUGCUGUUUCCGUAUCCAAGCCCAAGCUCUUCUAGAGCUUCAGCAAAUCCAAGCCUCCCUGAAUUCCCUGCAAGACCAAACUGAGCCCUACAACCCCCACCACUCUGGUUAGCUGCCAGUCCCAGCCCCUGUUCCCUCCUGGGCCCCUGUCUGUACAGUUCUGAAGUCCUACAAGAAUGUUGAGAUCCUAAGCCGACUCUCACCCAAAGAGGUAAACAACCAGGGGCCUCCAGGUUGAGAGAAUAUACCCAGACAGGUUCUGCUGCCUGUAGGCUUGAUGUCUUUCCCCUACAACACGCCUUGCUUGCCAGGCUGGAAGAGGGGCUCCAGAAACUUGGGAAACCUGGGCCUGUAGCUGGCAUGUGGAAAAGAGGCCUGGAAAAGCACCAUUCCUGUCCAUGAAGCCCCCAGAUGGAACCAGGUCCUGUUCAGAAACCCCAUCUGUGCCUUUGGAGGGACUGCCCUGCGCACACAGGCCCAGCAACCACCAUCUACGGCCCCCAGGACCUAAUCCCCUUCUACUUGGGAUUCAGUGCAUGUUAGCAGACACUGGGCUUGAUUCCUGCCUAGUCCCUGCCAGAUAUCCCAUGCCCACCUCAUUAAGAGAAUGAGGCCACACAAACACACCCAGGCCAUCGUGAUGAUGGAGUGCCUGGGGUCCCACUUGCCCACCCUUCAUUGCUGGUUCAGAGCCAGCUCUGACCACAUUCCUACCCUGAGAUGGGACUCUGGGGACAUUGUCCACCAGGGUCACUGACCCCUUUUAACGUUCCAGAAACAUGGCCAGCUGGUCCCCUAGAAGUUU